This 686-nucleotide ribosomal RNA is filed under the name Climacostomum virens. RNAcentral describes it as "partial Eukaryotic large subunit ribosomal RNA". It matches the Rfam family "Eukaryotic large subunit ribosomal RNA", at positions 15 to 729 of the family's 3401-position model. Lineage: Eukaryota; Ciliophora; Heterotrichea; Heterotrichida; Climacostomidae. The record is from RNAcentral.
GCAAGACCACCCGCUGAACUUAAGCAUAUCAAUAAGCGGAGGAAAAGAAACUAACCAGGAUGCGCCUAGUAACGGCGAGUGAACCGCGCAUAGCCCAACUUGAAAAUCUCCCUUUGGAGAAUUGUAGUCUAUAGAAGCGCCCUCUGUGGCGGUCGGAGCUCAAGUCCUCUGGAAAGGGGCGUCAGAGAGGGUGAGAACCCCGUCGGCUCUCGGCUUAGCUGCUCCACGAGGUGCUUUCCACGAGUCGGGUUGUUUGAGAAUGCAGCCCAAAAUGGGAGGUAAAUCCCUUCUAAGGCUAAAUACUGGCGAGAGACCGAUAGCGAACAAGUACCGUGAGGGAAAGAUGAAAAGAACUUUGAAAAGAGAGUUAAAAAGUGCUUGAAAUUGUUGAGAGGGAAGCGAUUGGAGGCUGCGGGUGCGCCCAGGCUCAUGCGUCUCUAACGAGCCGCUGUAUGUGCUGGGUGCUGGUCAGCAUGGGUUAGGCCGGCGGGAUAAAAGCAGGGGUUGAUACCCUGUCUAUGCCGCCGGCUUGACCAAGGCGUGAAUGGCGCUCAGACCUUCGGGAUCUGCGUCAUCAAGAUGCUGGCAGAAGGCUUUCAAUCGGCCCGUCUUGUAACACGGACCAAGGAGUCUAACAUGUAUGCGAGUUGGUGGGUGGAAAACCCAUGAAGCGCAAGUAACCUGAC